AGACAAGCUACACCACAACAGCCCAGUAUAACCCAUCAAAGCCAGGCUGAUGCUCAGGGCUUCAACAGAAUUGGGCAGAACAGCCACGAACCCCCUCCUAAAACUACGAUCUGGACCUCAGCAGACACCAUCAGGAUGAUGACAGAGAACACUCUCUCCACCAGGCCUGACCAAAGGUCUGGCUAGGCUGAUGGUUACGAAAGAGAGGGAGAAAGAGAAGAGACUUAGGGGACCCCUCCCCCGCAAGCAAUCCUCCACGGGGAAGGCUGGCCGUGGGAAGCUGUCCCUACCCAGUGCAGACUCGAGUCUGGCUUGAGAGCCCUGGCCCACCUCUGGACAGGGUCCUGAUCCAAGGCUGGCGCUUCAUCUCAGGGCAGGGGCAAGGUGGGGGGACCCUGCCUGUCUGCCUGGAAGACACCCACAUGGCUUCCUUCGAUUCGUCCUGCAGAUCUCCCUGGCAUCACUUUCUGAGACACCGUACUCAACCCCCUCCAACAGGGAAAGCCCCCGCGCUAUGUCCUGACUCCCCCAGCUGCGCCUGGCUCCCCCACCUGUGCCUGGCUCCUCCAGAGACACCUGUUCCAGCCCAGUGUGCGGUGUGCUCAUUGUGCCAUCUCCUUGGGUGGAGUGAUGGCUCCAUGAGGGCAGGCAGGUUGUCUACUCUGUUCACUGUUUAAAGCAGGGCCCUGCCCGAAGGAGGUGCGCAAUACCUUCCGGGCAAAUAAAUGAAUGAAUGGAUGAACUAAA
Molecule: long non-coding RNA, 747 nt
Organism: Homo sapiens (human)
Lineage: Eukaryota; Metazoa; Chordata; Mammalia; Primates; Hominidae
Source: Ensembl